Harmonia axyridis is the source of this 554-nucleotide long non-coding RNA. RefSeq lists it as uncharacterized. NCBI's taxonomy places the organism in Eukaryota, Metazoa, Arthropoda, Insecta, Coleoptera, Coccinellidae. The transcript has 2 exons. The record is from RefSeq and is a predicted model, not a curated record.
AGACGACAUAUUUCAAAUCAGAUAAGUUAUCGCGAUGAAGGAACUGUAACAAAAAGUAAUAACUUCGUGGGAAACUUAAACAAAAUUUCGUUACGUUCUAGAUAGAUCAUAACUGGAAUGAAUUAUAAUGCGGAAUGCAAAACCACAUAUUUAAAGAAGAAAAACAAAGUUGAGACAGAUUUGAAUGAUCUGAAACUGCAACUCGGAGAGAAAAACGGAAGUAUUCCGUCUCUAGUGAAGACAGCCAAGGUCGAGAGACAGAGAGAGUAAUAUGCAGAAAUAUAGUUUAAUGAUAAAUUUUUUCUUAAAAAUUGAAAAGGGGCGCUGUACUCUGGUUAUACCUGAUAUCUCUUCAGAUAUGGAUAUGAUUUGUGAAUUUUAUCAUGAUUUCUGACAAUUUUUCGAAAAUAAAUCCAGGAAACUCAUUUUGAUCACAUUCAAUAUUGAAUUGUGUGCUCAAAGGAAAAAAUUAUUGUUGUUAUUAUUGUAUAAUUGUUACGAAUAUAAACAUUUAUAGUGAAUGUACUGAGAUAGAGUGAAUAAAUCUUUAAAUU